Molecule: ribosomal RNA, 460 nt
Filed under: uncultured bacterium
Lineage: Bacteria
Description: bacterial SSU rRNA
Rfam family: Bacterial small subunit ribosomal RNA
Source: RNAcentral
GGGAGGCAGCAGUGGGGAAUAUUGCACAAUGGGGGAAACCCUGAUGCAGCCAUGCCGCGUGUGUGAAGAAGGCCUUCGGGUUGUAAAGCACUUUCAGUAGGGAGGAAGGUAGUGUAGUUAACACCUGCAUUAUUUGACGUUACCUACAGAAGAAGCACCGGCUAACUCCGUGCCAGCAGCCGCGGUAAUACGGAGGGUGCGAGCGUUAAUCGGAAUUACUGGGCGUAAAGCGCAUGCAGGCGGCCUGUUAAGUCAGAUGUGAAAGCCCCGGGGCUUAACCUCGGAAUUGCAUUUGAAACUGGCAGGCUAGAGUCUUGUAGAGGGGGUAGAAUUUCAGGUGUAGCGGUGAAAUGCGUAGAGAUCUGAAGGAAUACCAGUGGCGAAGGCGGCCCCCCUGGACAAAGACUGACGCUCAGAUGCGAAAGCGUGGGGAGCAAACAGGAUUAGAUACCCCUGGUAG